RNAcentral lists this ribosomal RNA (565 nucleotides) under uncultured archaeon. Its description in RNAcentral is "bacterial SSU rRNA". It matches the Rfam family "Archaeal small subunit ribosomal RNA", at positions 258 to 823 of the family's 1478-position model. The record is from RNAcentral.
CUACGACGGGUACGGGUUGUGAGAGCAAGAGCCCGGAGAUGGAUUCUGAGACACGAAUCCAGGCCCUACGGGGUGCAGCAGGCGCGAAAACUUUACAAUGCUGGCAACAGCGAUAAGGGAACCUCGAGUGCCAGGUUACAAAUCUGGCUGUCGAGAUGCCUAAAAAGCAUUUCAUAGCAAGGGCCGGGCAAGACCGGUGCCAGCCGCCGCGGUAACACCGGCGGCUCGAGUGGUAACCGUUAUUAUUGGGUCUAAAGGGUCUGUAGCCGGCCGGAUAAGUCUCUUGAGAAAUCUGGCAGCUUAACUGUCAGGCUUUCAGGAGAUACUGUCUGGCUCGAGGCCGGGAGAGGUGAGAGGUACUUCAGGGGUAGGGGUGAAAUCUUGUAAUCCUUGAAGGACCACCAGUGGCGAAGGCGUCUCACCAGAACGGACCUGACGGCAAGGGACGAAAGCUAGGGGCACGAACCGGAUUAGAUACCCGGGUAGUCCUAGCCGUAAACGAUACUCGCUAGGUGUCGGCCACGGUGCGACCGUUGUCGGUGCCGUAGGGAAGCCGUGAAGCGAG